This is a transfer RNA of Ovis aries (sheep), 73 nucleotides long. It matches the Rfam family "tRNA". Rfam says of the family: Transfer RNA (tRNA) molecules are approximately 80 nucleotides in length. Their secondary structure includes four short double-helical elements and three loops (D, anti-codon, and T loops). NCBI's taxonomy places the organism in Eukaryota, Metazoa, Chordata, Mammalia, Artiodactyla, Bovidae. The record is from Rfam.
UCCCUGGUGGUUCAGUGGUCGGGGCUUUGCACUUCCACUGCAGCGGGCACGGGUUCGAGACCUGGUCAGGGAA